This 83-nucleotide transfer RNA is filed under the name human gut metagenome. It matches the Rfam family "tRNA". Rfam says of the family: Transfer RNA (tRNA) molecules are approximately 80 nucleotides in length. RNAcentral also lists the same sequence under 1 other name. The record is from RNAcentral.
GAGGGAUGGCAGAGAGGUUGAAUGCACUGGUCUUGAAAACCGGCGAGCCGCAAGGCUUCGGGGGUUCGAAUCCCUCUCCCUCC